GUGCUCACUUCGGCAGCACAUAUACUGAAAUUGGAAGGAUACAGAGAAGAUUAGCAUAGCCCCUGCACAAGGAUGACAUGCAGAUUCAUGAAGCAUUCCGUAUUUUU
This is a small nuclear RNA of Loxodonta africana (African savanna elephant), 107 nucleotides long. NCBI's taxonomy places the organism in Eukaryota, Metazoa, Chordata, Mammalia, Proboscidea, Elephantidae. The record is from Ensembl.